GGGGAUGGGUGGAGCAGCAGGGAUUCGAAAGGGCUGGGGAGGGAACCUCUAAUUACCUAGGCGAUCUUUGCGAAGCAUGCUCCUCCCCUGGCCAUCAUGACCUUGAACUCGUCGAAGGAGAUGAGGCCGUCGCCGUUCUGGUCGACGCCCUCGAUCAUGCGGCGGCACUGCGCGACGGAGGCGGGCUCGCCGAGGCUGCGGAGGACGCGCGCGAGCUCGGCGGCGGAGAUGGCGCCGCUGCCGUCGGCGUCGAAGACGCGGAAGGCGUGGCGCAGGUCCUCCUCGACGGCGGCCGCGUCGCCGGCCACCGUGGCGUUGAGGGCCGCGAACUCGGGCAGGCUGAUGAAGCCGUCGCCGUCCGCGUCCGCCUCGGCCAUCAUGCGCGCCACCUCGUCGUCCGACGCGCCGUGGCCCAGGCUCUCGAACAGCGCCGCCAGCUCCGACCGCGAGAUCCGCCCGUCGCCGUUCGCGUCGAACUUGCGGAACACGCGCGCCAUCUCCUCCUCCGCCGUCGCCCGCUCCGGGGACCCGCUGCCGUCGCCGUCGCCCGCGGCAGGCGCCUGCUGCUGCGGCUGCGGCGGCGGCGGCUUGGAGGAGCGGCGGCGGAACAGGGACGGCACGGGCAUCCUGAUCUUGCCCAUGUCGCGUGGCGUGAGGGGGCUGCGACUGCGAGGGGGUUCGGCUGGAUCCGUCACGGCUGCGGUUUCGGUUCUGCGACGGGCGGCGUAUUUAUAGAGGCAAGGCAGAGGCAGUUCCUUUCCCAUUGCUAUCGAUCACGGAUCGCAGCCAGGGAGGGAGGCCGGGGCCCGGGGAGGAAGCUGCGGCGUCUAGCUGUUGCGCUACGAGUCCCUGCAUUGUGGGCCUGCGUUUGGGAAGCCGUAUUUGCUUCGCACCUGCCAGUGCCAGUGGGAUUGCGGAUCCCGCAAACCUGCUUGUAGUUGUAGUAUUGUAAAGGCAAUUUCCCCCCUUUGUUUGUUUCAAUAUAUAAGAUUUUAUUUGCUAGGUUACGA
RNAcentral lists this unclassified non-coding RNA (1010 nucleotides) under Zea mays. RNAcentral's name for it is "misc RNA Zm00001eb141110". The record is from RNAcentral. Lineage: Eukaryota; Viridiplantae; Streptophyta; Magnoliopsida; Poales; Poaceae.